RNAcentral lists this ribosomal RNA (930 nucleotides) under Triticum aestivum (bread wheat). RNAcentral's name for it is "partial small subunit ribosomal RNA". The record is from RNAcentral. Lineage: Eukaryota; Viridiplantae; Streptophyta; Magnoliopsida; Poales; Poaceae.
AUGGCCGACGACGCCGCCGCCCACGUCCGCGACGGGUUCAACAAGUGGUGGGAGACCUUCAACAAUGGCGGCGCCGUGGAAGAUGAGCCGAUGGUGGACUCCGACUCCGAUUUCGAGCAGGGCGCGGAGGAGGAGGAGGAUGCGGGCGAGCGCGACCGGAAGGUGGAGCCGGACGCCCUCGCCCCCGCCGGGAGGGAGGGCAGCAGCGGCGCCGCCCGCGAUUGCGACGUUGCAGAGGAGGAGAUUUCCGAGGAUGGCCAUUUUCAGCUUGAAAGUGUGCUGCAGGGAAUGAAGAGAGAAGCUGCCGCCGGACGAAAUACACCGCGGGCUACUGCAGCUGAGACCCGUGAUGAAGAAGGUCAAGAUGCAGAGGAGUAUGUUUCUGAGGAUAACUACGCUGGAGGUGAGUUCCAAGCAAAGAAGAGGAAAGCAACCGUAACAACAGGCAAACCGCAGACGGUUGGAUCUGGGAUCCUGAACCAAAAUGCUCAUGUUACGGAGGAGAAUUGUGAGGAUAACCAUUUUCAGCAUGAAGAUGAGCUGCAAGGAAGGAACAGAGAAGCAGCCGCCAAACUAAAUACACCAUGGGCUUCUGGAGAUGAGAUCCAGAACGAAGAAGAUCAAGGUGAGUGCCUGAGAGCUGAGAAUCAGAUGCUGAGGCUGCAGCUUGUUCGCAAGACGAAAGAGCUUGAGGCUGAGCAGAUUGGGAGACUUGAGCUAGAAUUGCAUUUUAUGAAAAAGGAGAACGAGUUUCUGAGGAAGCAGCUUGAAGAGUUGAAAGCUGAGAAUGAGUACUAUAAGAAGACCGCAAAGCCAACAAAAACCCAAAGGCUGUGCAGGUUCUGUAAGGAGUAUGUCGACCACGACUUCCGUAACUGCCCCGAGAGACGCGCUUCCGCUUGUUCUGAAGAAGACGACGGCUCCAUCUAA